Molecule: ribosomal RNA, 497 nt
Filed under: uncultured bacterium
Lineage: Bacteria
Description: partial 16S ribosomal RNA
Rfam family: Bacterial small subunit ribosomal RNA
Source: RNAcentral
GAUGAACGCUGGCGGCGUGCCUAAUACAUGCAAGUCGAGCGAACAGACGAGGAGCUUGCUCCUCUGACGUUAGCGGCGGACGGGUGAGUAACACGUGGAUAACCUACCUAUAAGACUGGGAUAACUUCGGGAAACCGGAGCUAAUACCGGAUAAUAUGUUGAAUCGCAUGGUUCAACAGUGAAAGACGGUCUUGCUGCCACUUAUAGAUGGAUCCGCGCCGCAUUAGCUAGUUGGUAAGGUAACGGCUUACCAAGGCAACGAUGCGUAGCCGACCUGAGAGGGUGAUCGGCCACACUGGAACUGAGACACGGUCCAGACUCCUACGGGAGGCAGCAGUAGGGAAUCUUCCGCAAAGGGCGAAAGCCUGACGGAGCAACGCCGCGUGAGUGAAGAAGGUCUUCGGAUCGUAAAACUCUGUUAUUAGGGAAGAACAAAUGUGUAAGUAACUAUGCACGUCUUGACGGUACCUAAUCAGAAAGCCACGGCUAACUACGUG